This is a long non-coding RNA of Apteryx rowi (Okarito brown kiwi), 800 nucleotides long. NCBI's taxonomy places the organism in Eukaryota, Metazoa, Chordata, Aves, Apterygiformes, Apterygidae. The record is from Ensembl.
CCCGGAGCAGGGCGGGCAGCGCGGCCGGCGCCCUCCGGCCCUGCCGCCGACGGCUGUUCGGCAGCGCCGGCGCCGCGGGGCUGGAGCAGAGCAGUCUGAAGGGAAAAUCCAGUCUGAAAACCUUACCAAAAAUUAAAGAAAAUCUUGAAGUGACCCAAGCGACCCAUUCAUCCAAUCAAAGCACUCUAGUGCAUGUCAAAGGGGUGACCAACAUAGAAGAAACUGAAGAGAAAACAGGAGAAAGCACUGUACUGCUGAAGGAAUCUUCAGUAAUCAACUUUGAAAGUAAAGAAAGUWUGAAAAAUGCUGAAGUGACUUCAAGUACAGAAUUGACUCUUCCCACAGGUGUUUCAACCUUUCUACUAGAGUGUUUAGAUGUAGAUUCCACUGCAGACUAUAACACAGGCUCUAAUGACAGCAUGAACAAUUGCUCAUCCCCUGAAACAUUCAGAGAUGAAGAUAUUUCAGACAGAAGUAACCUUUUCUCUGAGGACUGUGUCAAAUAUAAGAACUCAACUCUCCUGGACUCCAGCAAAGCAAUGACCAUAGACAAGAUGCCACAGAUCUCAAAUCUGUCAGCAAUAUUAGAACCUAUGCUGGAGGAUUUUCAAGACCAAUACACUAGAAGAAAUAAACCAUCAAAAUGCAAUUACAGUUCUUCAGCAUUAAAUGUUUCAACUACUCUAGCAGGGAAACAAGUCUGUAAAAUUACAACUGCAAGAGAGAGAACUCCAGACCUAAAAGCUGGUAUGYGCUGUUCUUCACCGAUAGGACCAGAAAGAAAGGUGAAAGAUUUUUAA